RNAcentral lists this ribosomal RNA (301 nucleotides) under uncultured bacterium. Its description in RNAcentral is "partial 16S ribosomal RNA". It matches the Rfam family "Bacterial small subunit ribosomal RNA", at positions 509 to 807 of the family's 1533-position model. The record is from RNAcentral.
CAGCAGCCGCGGUAAUACGGAGGGAGCUAGCGUUAUUCGGAAUUACUGGGCGUAAAGCGCACGUAGGCGGCUUUGUAAGUUAGAGGUGAAAGCCUGGAGCUCAACUCCAGAAUUGCCCUUAAGACUGCAUCGCUUGAAUCCAGGAGAGGUGAGUGGAAUUCCGAGUGUAGAGGUGAAAUUCGUAGAUAUUCGGAAGAACACCAGUGGCGAAGGCGGCUCACUGGACUGGUAUUGACGCUGAGGUGCGAAAGCGUGGGGAGCAAACAGGAUUAGAUACCCGAGUAGUCCCUGUCUCUUAUAC